RNAcentral lists this ribosomal RNA (487 nucleotides) under uncultured bacterium. Its description in RNAcentral is "partial 16S ribosomal RNA". It matches the Rfam family "Bacterial small subunit ribosomal RNA", at positions 899 to 1397 of the family's 1533-position model. The record is from RNAcentral.
ACUCAAAUGAAUUGACGGGGACCCGCACAAGCAGGGGAGCGUGUGGUUUAAUUCGACACAAAGCGAAAAACCUCACCCAGGUUUGACAUGGAACUGCAAGCGCACAGAAAUGUGUGAUCUUCGAGAGUGUUCCACAGGUGCUGCAUGGCUGUCGUCAGCUCGUACCGUGAGGCGUUGGUUUAAGUACCGCAACGAGCGCAACCCCCGUCCUUAGUUGUAUCACUCUAAGGAAACUGCCGUUCGUAUAGAACGGAGGAAGGCGGGGAUGACGUCAAGUCAGCACGGCCCUUAUGUCUGGGGCUACACACACCCUACAAUGGUGCAUAACAACGAGCUUCGCAAGUCAGUAAUGGCAAGCAAAUCUCUAAAACUGCACCUCAGUUCAGAUCGAGGGCUGCAACCCGCCCUCGUGAAGCAGGACUUGCUAGUAAUCGCGGAUCAGCAGGCCGCGGUGAAUACGUUCUCGGGUCUUGUACACACCGCCCGU